GGGAAUGUAGCUUAGUGGUAAAGUGUUUGCCUAAUAUGCAUGAAUUUCUGGGUUCAAUUCCUCAGUACCA
Molecule: transfer RNA, 70 nt
Filed under: Dipodomys ordii (Ord's kangaroo rat)
Lineage: Eukaryota; Metazoa; Chordata; Mammalia; Rodentia; Heteromyidae
Rfam family: tRNA
About the family: Transfer RNA (tRNA) molecules are approximately 80 nucleotides in length. Their secondary structure includes four short double-helical elements and three loops (D, anti-codon, and T loops).
Source: Rfam by way of RNAcentral